UUGAGGUGGAGAGGGCAUUGUUUGAAAGGUGUUCUCAGUUUAAGGAAACUCUUGAAGUUUAUAAUAAAGAAUUAGAAAGCUUCAAAAAGCGAGGAGAUAUUGUGACAGCAGAAGAAUUGAGGAAGAAUACUGAGAAGUUGGAAAAGUUAAAUAAGAAUAUAGCUGAUGCUCUAGCAGAAUUUGAGGGUAUUAAUUAUGAAGAAGAUUUGCUUGGGCAGGAGAAGAGUCAAUUUCCUCUCUUGCAAUCUAUAAUUAC
RNAcentral lists this long non-coding RNA (256 nucleotides) under Camarhynchus parvulus. RNAcentral describes it as "lncRNA (ENSCPVG00000002737.2)". The record is from RNAcentral. Lineage: Eukaryota; Metazoa; Chordata; Aves; Passeriformes; Thraupidae.